CAGGCCUAACACAUGCAAGUCGAACGGCAGCACGGACUUCGGUCUGGUGGCGAGUGGCGAACGGGUGAGUAAAGUAUCGGAACGUACCUUUCAGUGGGGGAUAACGUAGCGAAAGUUACGCUAAUACCGCAUAUUCUGUGAGCAGGAAAGCAGGGGACCUUCGGGCCUUGCGCUGAUUGAGCGGCCGAUAUCAGAUUAGCUAGUUGGUGGGGUAAAAGCUCACCAAGGCGACGAUCUGUAGCGGGUCUGAGAGGAUGAUCCGCCACACUGGAACUGAGACACGGUCCAGACUCCUACGGGAGGCAGCAGUGGGGAAUUUUGGACAAUGGGGGCAACCCUGAUCCAGCCGGGCCGCGUGAGUGAAGAAGGCCUUCGGGUUGUAAAGCUAUGGCGGCCGGGAAAAAAUCGCAUAGGUUAAUACCCUGGUGGAUGAUGGUACCGGA
RNAcentral lists this ribosomal RNA (443 nucleotides) under uncultured bacterium. RNAcentral's name for it is "bacterial SSU rRNA". It matches the Rfam family "Bacterial small subunit ribosomal RNA", at positions 43 to 482 of the family's 1533-position model. The record is from RNAcentral.